GACGAACGCUGGCGGCGCGCUUAACACAUGCAAGUCGAGCGAGAACCAUUCCUUCGGGAAUGGGGAAAGCGGCGAACGGGUGAGUAACACGUGAGUAAUCCACCCUUGGUACCGGGAUAGCCCGAGGAAACUCGGAUUAAUACCGGAUAGCCCAACAGCCUUUCGGGGUCGGUUGGAAAGGUAGCUUCGGCCUCCGACCAAGGACGAGCUCGCGGCGGAUUAGCUUGUUGGCGGGGUAAUGGCCCACCAAGGCGACAAUCCGUAGCUGGUCUGAGAGGACGAUCAGCCACACUGGGGACUGAGACACGGCCCAGACUCCUACGGGAGGGCAGCAGUGGGGAAUCUUGCGCAAU
Molecule: ribosomal RNA, 353 nt
Filed under: uncultured bacterium
Lineage: Bacteria
Description: bacterial SSU rRNA
Rfam family: Bacterial small subunit ribosomal RNA
Source: RNAcentral